CCUACGGGUGUCAGCAGUGGGGAAUAUUGGGCAAUGGAGGCAACUCUGACCCCGCAACGCCGCGUGAAGGAAGACGGCCUUAGGGUUGUAAACUUCUGUAGUAAAGGAAGAACAGCAUGACGGUACUUUACAAGCAAGCCCCGGCUACCUAUGUGCCAGCAGCCGCGGUAAGACAUAGGGGGCAAGCGUUGUUCGGAAUUACUGGGCGUAACGGGGGCGUAGGCGGGAGAUUAAGUUCAGAGUGAAAGCCUUGGGCUCAACCCAAGAAAUGCGCUUAAUACUGGUGUUCUAGAGGGUGGGAGAGGUAAGUGGAAUUCCUAGUGUAGCGGUAGAAUGCGUAGAGAUUAGGAGGAACAUCAGAGGCGAAGGCGGCGUACUGGACCAUAACUGACGCUGAGGCUCGAAAGCGUGGGGAGCAAACAGGAUUAGAUACCCGAGUAGUC
This 443-nucleotide ribosomal RNA is filed under the name uncultured bacterium. RNAcentral's name for it is "partial 16S ribosomal RNA". It matches the Rfam family "Bacterial small subunit ribosomal RNA", at positions 338 to 795 of the family's 1533-position model. The record is from RNAcentral.